This 404-nucleotide RNase P RNA is filed under the name Paracoccaceae bacterium. RNAcentral describes it as "Rhodobacteraceae bacterium (marine metagenome) RNase P RNA component class A". It matches the Rfam family "Bacterial RNase P class A". Rfam says of the family: Ribonuclease P (RNase P) is a ubiquitous endoribonuclease, found in archaea, bacteria and eukarya as well as chloroplasts and mitochondria. Lineage: Bacteria; Pseudomonadati; Pseudomonadota; Alphaproteobacteria; Rhodobacterales; Paracoccaceae. The record is from RNAcentral.
GUGGAGGGCCGGAUGGCCGCUUGGCCUGGGGAACCCGGCCCAGAGGAAAGUCCGGACUCCGUGAAGCAACGGUGCCGGGUAACACCCGGGCGGGGCAACCCGACGGAAAGCGCCACAGAAAUCAAACCACCCCGAUGUAUGUCGGGGCCAGGGUGAAACGGUGGGGUAAGAGCCCACCGCCGGACUGGCAACAGGACGGGCACGGCAAGCCCCACCGGGAGCAAUGCCAAAUAGGGACCGCGCGCCGCCAUCCUUCGGGCUGGGGGCGGGGCCGCUUCAGCCCCAGCAGGUCCGGGUCGGCAGCUAGAGGUGUCGGAGCAAUCCGACAUCAAGAGGAAUGGUCAUCUCGGGUGGUUCUUCGGAGCCAUCUCAGACAGAAUCCGGCUUACAGGCCCUCCACGCGC